GGCCAGUUCGCAGGCUACACAUGCAAGUCGAGCGGAAACGACACUAACAAUCCUUCGGGUGCGUUAAUGGGCGUCGAGCGGCGGACGGGUGAGUAAUGCCUAGGAAAUUGCCUUGAUGUGGGGGAUAACCAUUGGAAACGAUGGCUAAUACCGCAUGAUGCCUACGGGCCAAAGAGGGGGACCUUCGGGCCUCUCGCGUCAAGAUAUGCCUAGGUGGGAUUAGCUAGUUGGUGAGGUAAUGGCUCACCAAGGCGACGAUCCCUAGCUGGUCUGAGAGGAUGAUCAGCCACACUGGAACUGAGACACGGUCCAGACUCCUACGGGAGGCAGCAGUGGGGAAUAUUGCACAAUGGGCGAAAGCCUGAUGCAGCCAUGCCGCGUGUAUGAAGAAGGCCUUCGGGAUGUAAAGUACUUUGA
This 417-nucleotide ribosomal RNA is filed under the name Vibrio sp. Its description in RNAcentral is "bacterial SSU rRNA". It matches the Rfam family "Bacterial small subunit ribosomal RNA", at positions 35 to 438 of the family's 1533-position model. The record is from RNAcentral. Lineage: Bacteria; Pseudomonadati; Pseudomonadota; Gammaproteobacteria; Vibrionales; Vibrionaceae.